GCGCAGCAGGCGCGAAAGCGCGAUGAGGGAAUCCCAAGUGCUUGCACGUAAGUGUAAGCUGUUUCUCUGUCUAAAAAGCAGAGAGAGUAAGGGCUGGGUAAGACGGGUGCCAGCCGCCGCGGUAAUACCUGCAGCUCCGAAGUGGUGGCCGCUAUUAUUGGGCCUAAAACGUCCGUAGCCGGUCUAGUAAGUUGCCUGGGUAAAUCGUGAGGCUUAACCUUACGAAUUCCGGGUAGACUGCUAGACUUGAGACCGGGAGAGGGCUAGAGGUACUCCUGGGGUAGAGG
Molecule: ribosomal RNA, 287 nt
Filed under: uncultured microorganism
Description: partial 16S ribosomal RNA
Rfam family: Archaeal small subunit ribosomal RNA
Source: RNAcentral